GAUGAACGCUGGCGGCGUGCCUAAUACAUGCAAGUCGAGCGAACGGACGAGAAGCUUGCUUUUCUGAUGUUAGCGGCGGACGGGUGAGUAACACGUGGAUAACCUACCUAUAAGACUGGGAUAACUUCGGGAAACCGGAGCUAAUACCGGAUAAUAUUUUGAACCGCAUGGUUCAAAAGUGAAAGACGGUCUUGCUGUCACUUAUAGAUGGAUCCGCGCUGCAUUAGCUAGUUGGUAAGGUAACGGCUUACCAAGGCAACGAUGCAUAGCCGACCUGAGAUGGUGAUCCGCCACACUGGAACUGAGACACGGUCCAGACUCCUACGGGAGGCAGCAGUAGGGAAUCUUCCGCAUUGGGCGAAAGCCUGACGGAGCAACGCCGCGUGCGUGAUGAAGGUCUUCGGAUCGUAAAACUCUGUUAUUAGGGAAGAACAUAUGUGUAAGUAACUGUGCACAUCUUGACGGUACCUAAUCAGAAAGCCACGGCUAACUACGUG
This 497-nucleotide ribosomal RNA is filed under the name uncultured bacterium. Its description in RNAcentral is "partial 16S ribosomal RNA". It matches the Rfam family "Bacterial small subunit ribosomal RNA", at positions 28 to 507 of the family's 1533-position model. The record is from RNAcentral.